GAGGAAGGAAGGAAGGAAGGAAGGAAGGAAGGAAGUCCUUCCCUGGAACUACAGAUCAAUGCAGAUCACAUGACCAAGCCAUAAAGAUGAAUGGAAGGCCAAGCAGGCACAGGGUCCUCAGACUGUUCCCCAGGAGAGCCUUUCUCACCUCUCCCCUUGCAGCUCUCCAGCCCCAUCAGCCUCCUGAGCCAUCUCCUCCUUCCAGCUCUUCCUGUCUAUGACAACCAGAUCUCCCUCUCAGGAAUCUCAGGUGCCAUUCUAAGCCCCUUCAGUGAUGAGAAGAAUAAUUCUCGAAGCCUCACUAGAGAGAUGUGUGAGUGACAAUAUGGAACGAAGGCCUGAUGGUGAAGUUUCAGAAACUAGUUCCUGAGAGUGGUUCAUAUGUUAAGCUGAGGGAAUUCUUGCCUUGGCUACUCAGGGUAGUCACACCCCCAGCACCUGAGCUGAAGUAAUGCCCUACCUCCCAGGGAAUCAGUGCCUUGGAUGAGCCUGGCAGCUGUACAUCCCAGGGCUGAAUUGACAUGGCACCUUGCAUCCCAAGAAAACAGCAUUGAGUGAGCUGAGACCACCUACCAGGCCAAACAACUGUAGAACCUUGUCUUCUUGGAACUGGACUACCUCUCGCCCUUGACACCACAAGAUUCUGAGCUGCUGAGGCACCCUGCCUCCUUGGAAAGUGGAGCCAUUGCUGUGCUGCUCCAUGUCCCCUGGGGCCCAAGCCACAGCUGAACUCUGCCAUUCCUGGUCCUUGCUGUCUCAUGGAGCCAGGGACACGGCUAUGUUGUCUCAUCAUCCCUGGGUCCAGAGUCACCACUACACAGUGCCUUAUCGUCCAGGACCUGAGUUACUGCUGUGCCCUAUUGGCUCCAUUUCCCAAAUUAUAGCUGUUCUCUGCUCAUGGACCUGAAUCUCCAGAGCACCCCUUCUCCCCUGGAGCUGAGCCAGUGCUGUGCCCUGCCCUUCAGGGUCGGAGUCAGAGCUACCAUCCAGCCUAAUGAGCCCGAGCUGCUGGAGUGUACCUCAAAGCCACAGACACCAGCUUUAUUGACCAUCUGCAUCUACCUAUGCCUCAGAGAGUGAACCUUCACUCCAAGUGCCAGCUGCCACAGUAGGUUUGUGAGACCGUGAGCCCAAACUCAGGUUUUAAAGCCACUCUGAGCACCUGUACCCUGGAACCUAGCACCACUGCAGCCACUUGUGGGCCAUGCCAGACCCAACAUGAGGAGAGAUGCCCUCACCUAAGACUCUUCUUAUGGAGGAAAUGAGAAUGGGAGGACCCUAAAAGCUCUUGCUACUGAGAACUCUAACAGCACACACUUCUGCCACUGCUGUCACAAACUCUGGCAGCCUAGGCCGGUGAGGUGCCCACAGUCAUUCUUGACCUUGACUGCAGCUGAAGAAGCUGCACAGAGACUAUACCACUGCCUCCACUUGGAAUCAGGGCCACCACACCCUGCCCAAACAGCACCUUAAGACCCACCUGCAGGUGAAAGUCUUUACCUACAAAAGACACUCUGUAAAUUUUGGAAGAGGUGACUGUUCCACCAGAUGCACAGACAUCAAUACAAGGAUAAAAGAAACAUGAAAAAGCAAGAAAACAUGACACCACCAAAGGAACACAAUAAUUCUCUAGUGACUGACCUCAAAGAAAAGAAAAUUUAUCAAUUGCCUGAAAAGGAGUUCAAAAUAAUAUUUUUAAGAAAAUUCAGCAAGAUAUGAGAUUCAGGAUACAGAUGGACAACUCAAAAAACUCAAGGAAACAAUUCAUGAUCUGACUGAGAAAUUCAACCAAGAGAUAGAUAUUAUAAAAGAGAACCAAACAGAAAUCUUGUAGCUGAAGAAUGCAAUAAAUGAAACAAAAAAUACAGUAGAGAGAUUCAACAGCAGACUAAAUCAUGCAGAAGAAUCUGUGAACUUGAUAAUAGGUUUUUUGAAAUUACUCGGGGUAGGGGAAAAGGAAAGAAAAUAAAAAAGUAAGAUGGCCUGCCUGACUUAUUGGAUGCCAUUAAGCAAAAUAACUCUUGCAUUACUUAUGUUCCAGAAGAAGAGACAGAGAAAGGGAUAAAAACUUCUUUAAUUAAAUAAUUGCUGAAAACUUCCCAAGUCUUGGGAGAGAUAUAGACAUCCAGAUCCAUGAAGCUCAAAGAGGUUCAACCAAAAGAGGUCCUCCUCAAGACAUAUUAUAACUAAACUGUCAAAAGUAACAAAAUGAGCAUUUUGAAAGCAGCAAGAGAAAAGCAUCAAGUCACAUAUAAGAGAAUCACUAUUAGGCUAUCAAUAGAUUUCUCAAGAGAAACCUUGCAAGCCAGGAGAGAAUGGCAUGAGAAUGGGAUGAUAUAUUCAAAGUGCUGAAAGAAAAAAAAAAAACUGUCAGCCAAGAAUACUAUAUCAAGUAAAUCUGCCCUUCAUAAAUCAAAGAGUGGAAAAGAUAUAGAAAGAAAAUCAGAGUGGAAAAGAUAUCCAAAGUCUAACCAAAUGAAAACUGGAAUGGCCAUCCUAGUAGCAGAAAAAUAGACCUUAAAGCAAAAAGUUACUAAAGUUAAAGAGGAGUAUUUCAUACUCAUAAAUGUUAAUUCACCAGAAAGCUAUCACAAUUCUAAAUCUAUCUGUGUGCGACAACAUAGUUUUAAAAUAUUUCUUUAAAAAAGCAAAAAUUGACAGAAUUAAAGGGAAAGAUGACAAAUUCACACUCGUAGCAGAAGAGUUUAAUAAAUCUCUCUCCAUAGCUGAUAAUGGACCCAAUAAAAUCAGCAAGGAAUGAGAAGAAUGAAACACAUAAUUGGCAAAUGUAUAGCACCACAUGAUUUCUUUCACGUAAUGUUCAAAAACUGGCAAAAUUAUGUCAUUAAAAUCAUGCCAGUGGCUACUUUUCAGGGGGAAAAAAGCAUAGUUGUUGGAAAUGAACAUAAAGGAGAGUUUUUGGGGUACAGGCAACAUUCUAUAAUGUUCUAUUCCUUCAGCCGGGUUGUACUUAGAUGAGUAUGUUCAUUUAGAGAUAAUCAUUGAACUGGUAUAAUCCAAUUUCAAAUGUGUAUUAAAUAUAUUUGUGUAGUUCAAACACUACACAUAGCAAUAAAAAACAAUUUUAUCCACAUAUCAAACUAAGUAAAUCUUGGAAAUUGUGUUGAAUGAAAACACAUAGAUAGAGAUUAAAAAUUUUGUAAAUUAUUUUAAAAUGCUAUAUAUUUUUAUAUAGAUAAAUAUAUGUAGUAAAGGUAUAACUUCUGAAUAAGAAGAGUAUGUACCAAUUUCAGAUAACUCCAUAGUUAUCUAUGGAGCAGUAGGGAAGGGAAGACUAUAAAAGAGGACUCAAUGAUAUAUGCAACCUUUUAUUUCUUAAAACAUUCUUAAGUAAAUAUGGCAAACUGUCAACAUUUGUUAAAUUUGGCUGGAGGGUAUAUGGAUGUUUGUUAUAUUUGCUGUAAUUUUCUAUAUAAAAGAUUUCAUAAUUAUUUGUUUUUAAUACUGCAAAUAUGUUCUCAUGUUAUCAGAUAUUCUGAAAUAGCAAAUUUUAAAGACUUAUUUUUACUAUUAUAAAUAUUACUAUAAUAAACAUCCUUGCCUUAAAUACU
This 3572-nucleotide long non-coding RNA is filed under the name Homo sapiens (human). Its description in RNAcentral is "HSALNT0187326". The record is from RNAcentral. Lineage: Eukaryota; Metazoa; Chordata; Mammalia; Primates; Hominidae.